Molecule: unclassified non-coding RNA, 2600 nt
Filed under: Octopus sinensis (East Asian common octopus)
Lineage: Eukaryota; Metazoa; Mollusca; Cephalopoda; Octopoda; Octopodidae
Description: uncharacterized protein DDB_G0271670-like, transcript variant X2
Source: RNAcentral
GUCGCCGCCCACACCGCCACGAACAACAACCAGUGAUGUCGCUAGUUUUCUCUGUAGUGUAAAACAGAAUCGGUUUACGGCCAGGCUACCACUACCACCACCACCUUUACUUACAGUAUUACUACUACCACCGCCACCACCUUUAUAAAUAGUAUUACUACUACUACUACUACUAACCACCGACACCAUUAUCGCUGCUUCUGUUAUCACCAACACACACACAAACAACCAGCAUCAUCACUACGAGUCUCUUGUAAUUAUUAUUAUUAAUAAUAACACCAACAGCAGUAGCACCACCACCACCACCGCCACCAGCAGCAGCAGCAGCCCACCACUCUCCGUACUGGCGCCCAGACCCUCGUCACACCUCGGUAGUAUUGUUGCCUGGAAGUGAAAAUACCAUUCGAGGAGGCGCAAGUGGACCACCAAAGAGAUUGCAGCUUACCCGCUCGCUUCGGUUUCUCGAGGACCCUUGUACAAGGCAAACCCCUUAUUUAGGUUGAUGUCACUGUUGGAGCCCUCACCAAGUGCUGCAUCUCGUAUCAGACACCUGCCUUGCCCAUGUUGAGACCGACAGAUGCUACAGACCUUUUGGCUGCUUCAUCCUCAUAGAUAUGUUCCACUACUUGUGCUGAUAAUUUUAUUCGGUCCAGAUUCUUUAGAAUGCACUUCUGGAGUCAGAGCUGCCACGGAAAAAGAGGUCUCCGAACUAGUUGACCGUGACCCAUCUAAGAUCUCUCAUGAGCAGCAGGAGACCCAAGAAUUUCCCAGGCAACCCCAGCACUUUCACCAUCACCAACCACACAAACAAGAGCAGCAACAGGCCUACACACAAUACCUGUCAUUGUCUACCAGGAAAUUUACUGUUCCGUCCAUGAAGCAUUUGGCCACCCUUACUAGCCAGCAUGCAGCCAAAAGCAAUAGCCAGAGUGACCCAAGUAGUUCACGGCCAAUGUUCAGAUUGGAAAGUUUGUCAACACAACAGCCUUUAACCCUUUCGUCUAAUAUCUCUGGCCAGAGGUCUGGCCCUUUGAGCCAGUCUCUGGGGUUUGUCCUGCAAAGAAAACGAAUACUUCGCAGAAAUCUAAUCACGCCAAAGAUUAGCAGCACUUUGCGCCAGGCUCCUUCCUUUCCUUCUUCUAACACUCCACUUCCAACGACGAAGACGACACGCAGUCGCGCUCAUCCGCUCCUUCCACUGACGAUUGCGAUUGCCACAAAGUCAGCGGACCAUGUGAGAAACAUGCAAACUCACCAGAGUUCCACUUUGAGAAAGAAAUUACUGAACUUUGAAGAAUUCGUUGAGAGAGGACAGUGUUGUGUUGUUGUGAAGCUCCGUUCAGCCCGGAGCGCAACAUCAGUUAGAACUUGGUCACCAUUUAGGGUCCAGCAGACGACAACAGGGAUAACAACAACAACAAUACCACAAAGCACAUUAGCAGCAGCAGCGGCGGCAGCAGAAAUAGCAAUGAAUAUCUCCCAGACUCACAGCAGCAGCAGCAACAGCAGCAGUAGCAGCAGUGGUGGUGGGAGUGGUGGGGGUAGCGGAGGAGGAGGUAAUAGUAGCAGCAGCAGCAGCGGCAGCCAGGUUGUGAUAACGGUGAACAAUGCCACCCAAACAGGGGGCGCUGCAACCACCACCACCACCACCACCACCACUACCCAUCCUGAUACUGGCAUGUUGAACUCCUUCACAUCGGGUCCGUCUACCGGUGGUGACAACCCUGCCCUCAUUGCCAACGGCACACGGACACUUUCCACAUUGGGUCCCCUCUCCAGUGACCAUACCCGGGUGGCAUCCAAUUACUCCACAGAUACCAGUUCCGGCACCCAUGCUACGGACACAUAUCUUAGCACACCAGAAAUAAUUGGUAUCUCAUUCGGAGCAGCAAUUAUUAUUUUGGGUAUCAGCAUUCCUUUGAUCUGUUGGGUUCACCGGAAAUACAUGAAUAGGGCAGCGAAACACUACAAGGAAUACUGGGACGACAAUGUGAACCUGAGUUACAUCAAUGGACACUUAGAUGCACCGAGGGAACAAAAUGACGAUGUGAUUUCUUUAGACAACGAUUCAUUCCUCAACAGUCUGGAUAGUGCCUCGUUCACUAACCUCUGGCCCUCCACUGAUAACUCCCGUCGCACCAAUUUGUGACAUCGGCUAUGUCCAUUCUCUGCAAGUCUGCUUACUUAAGAGAAUGUCCCUCCACUUUGAUGAAACUAAACCAAAACUAUGAAAAUGUGAACUUUAUAAAAUUACUACUACUACCACUACCCUUACUACUAUUACUACGACCACUCAACCAAUUCCUCCAUUUCAUUUGGUUCCACCAAAAAAUCACACAACACACUCAAACUCGAUGUAUAUGUCUGUAAGGAUGCAAGACCAAAGCUGACCUUGGCAGGAAUCAAAAACCAGAAUGUACAGACAUGACUCUGAUACUGAGAUGGAGACAGAUGUAAAUAUUCUACAAAAUAUUUCUGCAAUGUUAACUUAUUUAUUCAUUUGUUCAAGAAGGAUUUUUGACAAAUUGAUCAAAGGGUCCUAUUAACGUCACACAAAUCAAUCUUUCACUUUAUUGGGAAAUAAAACAAUUUUAAAACUU